Molecule: ribosomal RNA, 468 nt
Filed under: uncultured bacterium
Lineage: Bacteria
Description: partial 16S ribosomal RNA
Rfam family: Bacterial small subunit ribosomal RNA
Source: RNAcentral
GACGAACGCUGGCGGCGUGCUUAACACAUGCCAGUCGAACGGAAAGGCCCUGCUUUUGUGGGGUGCUCGAGUGGCGAACGGGUGAGUAACACGUGAGUAACCUGCCCUUGACUUUGGGAUAACUUCAGGAAACUGGGGCUAAUACCGGAUAGGAGCUCCUGCUGCAUGGUGGGGGUUGGAAAGUUUCGGCGGUUGGGGAUGGACUCGCGGCUUAUCAGCUUGUUGGUGGGGUAUUGGCUUACCAAGGCUUUGACGGGUAGCCGGCCUGAGAGGGUGACCGGCCACAUUGGGACUGAGAUACGGCCCAGACUCCUACGGGAGGCAGCAGUGGGGAAUAUUGCACAAUGGGCGGAAGCCUGAUGCAGCAACGCCGCGUGCGGGAUGACGGCCUUCGGGUUGUAAACCGCUUUCGCCUGUGACGAAGCGUGAGUGACGGUAAUGGGUAAAGAAGCACCGGCUAACUACGUG